AUUUAGUUGACGAGUCUCAAGUAGGACGAAACGCGUGUCCUGGGU
This 45-nucleotide non-coding RNA is filed under the name Schistosoma mattheei. The record is from RNAcentral. Lineage: Eukaryota; Metazoa; Platyhelminthes; Trematoda; Strigeidida; Schistosomatidae.